This 527-nucleotide ribosomal RNA is filed under the name uncultured bacterium. Its description in RNAcentral is "partial 16S ribosomal RNA". It matches the Rfam family "Bacterial small subunit ribosomal RNA", at positions 356 to 874 of the family's 1533-position model. The record is from RNAcentral.
AGGGAAUCUUCCACAAUGGACGCAAGUCUGAUGGAACAACGCCGCGUGAGUGAAGAAGGUCUUCGGAUCGUAAAGCUCUGUUGUUGGUGAAGAAGGAUAGAGGCAGUAACUGGUCUUUAUUUGACGGUAAUCAACCAGAAAGUCACGGCUAACUACGUGCCAGCAGCCGCGGUAAUACGUAGGUGGCAAGCGUUGUCCGGAUUUAUUGGGCGUAAAGCGAGCGCAGGCGGAAUGAUAAGUCUGAUGUGAAAGCCCACGGCUCAACCGUGGAACUGCAUCGGAAACUGUCAUUCUUGAGUGCAGAAGAGGAGAGUGGAACUCCAUGUGUAGCGGUGGAAUGCGUAGAUAUAUGGAAGAACACCAGUGGCGAAGGCGGCUCUCUGGUCUGCAACUGACGCUGAGGCUCGAAAGCAUGGGUAGCGAACAGGAUUAGAUACCCUGGUAGUCCAUGCCGUAAACGAUGAGCGCUAGGUGUUGGGGACUUUCCGGUCCUCAGUGCCGCAGCAAACGCAUUAAGCGCUCCGCCU